RNAcentral lists this ribosomal RNA (858 nucleotides) under Potamanthus luteus. RNAcentral's name for it is "eukaryotic LSU rRNA". It matches the Rfam family "Eukaryotic large subunit ribosomal RNA", at positions 1270 to 1905 of the family's 3401-position model. The record is from RNAcentral. Lineage: Eukaryota; Metazoa; Arthropoda; Insecta; Ephemeroptera; Potamanthidae.
GCUAAGGAGUGUGUAACAACUCACCUGCCGAAGCAACUAGCCCUGAAAAUGGAUGGCGCUGAAGCGUCGUGCCUAUACCCGGCCGCCGGCGGCAGAAGGCGCGCGCCCUCGGGCGCGCGCCGCGAAGCCCCGGUGAGUAGGAGGGUCGCGACGGUGAGCGCAGAAGGGUCUGGGCGCGAGCCUGCCUGGAGCCGCCGUCGGUGCAGAUCUUGGUGGUAGUAGCAAAUACUCCAGCGAGGCCCUGGAGGACUGAUGUGGAGAAGGGUUCCGUGUGAACAGCCGUUGCACACGGGUCAGUCGAUCCUAAGCCCUAGGAGAAAUCCGAUGUUGAUGGUCGCGGGAUGUGCUUGAGAGGUCUUUCUCUCCGGGGAAACGGCGGCUGCGGCGGCAGCAGAGUCGUCGCGGGCCCGGCCCUCCCCCCUUCGGGGAGGUGUCGGUCUUUACGCCCGCACGCGCGGCACGCGCACGCGGCCACCGCCCCGGAGCGAAUCUCGACGCUCGCACCAGUACCCCGUCCGUCGGGCGAAAGGGAAUCCGGUUCCUAUUCCGGAACCCGGUUGCGGAACCGCACUCACGAUCCUNGUAUUGACACGGUAACGUGAAAGACCCCAGAGAUGCCGUCUGGAGCCCCGGGAAGAGUUUUCUUUUCUGCCUGAGCGUUCGGGUUCCAUGGAAUCCUCUCGCAGGGAGAUAUGGAAUGGAACGCGAAGAGCACCGCAGUUGCUGCGGUGUCCGGGGAGUCCCGUCGGUCCUUGAAAAUCUGGGUGAGGGUCACGUGGAGGCGUCGCACCGGCUCGUACCCAUAUCCGCAGCAGGUCUCCAAGGUCAAGAGCCUCUAGUCGAUAGACUAAUGUAGGU